CGGGACACGUGGUAUCCUGUCUGAAUAUGGGGGGACCAUCCUCCAAGGCUAAAUACUCCUGACUGACCGAUAGUGAACCAGUACCGUGAGGGAAAGGCGAAAAGAACCCCGGCGAGGGGAGUGAAAAAGAACCUGAAACCGUGUACGUACAAGCAGUGGGAGCCUCUUAAUGGGGUGACUGCGUACCUUUUGUAUAAUGGGUCAGCGACUUAUAUUCUGUAGCAAGGUUAACCGAAUAGGGGAGCCGAAGGGAAACCGAGUCUUAACUGGGCGUUAAGUUGCAGGGUAUAGACCCGAAACCCGGUGAUCUAGCCAUGGGCAGGUUGAAGGUUGGGUAACACUAACUGGAGGACCGAACCGACUAAUGUUGAAAAAUUAGCGGAUGACUUGUGGCUGGGGGUGAAAGGCCAAUCAAACCGGGAGAUAGCUGGUUCUCCCCGAAAGCUAUUUAGGUAGCGCCUCGUGAAUUCAUCUCCGGGGGUAGAGCACUGUUUCGGCAAGGGGGUCAUCCCGACUUACCAACCCGAUGCAAACUGCGAAUACCGGAGAAUGUUAUCACGGGAGACACACGGCGGGUGCUAACGUCCGUCGUGAAGAGGGAAACAACCCAGACCGCCAGCUAAGGUCCCAAAGUCAUGGUUAAGUGGGAAACGAUGUGGGAAGGCCCAGACAGCCAGGAUGUUGGCUUAGAAGCAGCCAUCAUUUAAAGAAAGCGUAAUAGCUCACUGGUCGAGUCGGCCUGCGCGGAAGAUGUAACGGGGCUAAACCAUGCACCGAAGCUGCGGCAGCGACACUGUGUGUUGUUGGGUAGGGGAGCGUUCUGUAAGCCUGCGAAGGUGUGCUGUGAGGCAUGCUGGAGGUAUCAGAAGUGCGAAUGCUGACAUAAGUAACGAUAAAGCGGGUGAAAAGCCCGCUCGCCGGAAGACCAAGGGUUCCUGUCCAACGUUAAUCGGGGCAGGGUGAGUCGACCCCUAAGGCGAGGCCGAAAGGCGUAGUCGAUGGGAAACAGGUUAAUAUUCCUGUACUUGGUGUUACUGCGAAGGGGGGACGGAGAAGGCUAUGUUGGCCGGGCGACGGUUGUCCCGGUUUAAGCGUGUAGGCUGGUUUUCCAGGCAAAUCCGGAAAACCAAGGCUGAGGCGUGAUGACGAGGCACUACGGUGCUGAAGCGACAAAUGCCCUGCUUCCAGGAAAAGCCUCUAAGCAUCAGGUAACAUCAAAUCGUACCCCAAACCGACACAGGUGGUCAGGUAGAGAAUACCAAGGCGCUUGAGAGAACUCGGGUGAAGGAACUAGGCAAAAUGGUGCCGUAACUUCGGGAGAAGGCACGCUGAUAUGUAGGUGAAGCGACUUGCUCGUGGAGCUGAAAUCAGUCGAAGAUACCAGCUGGCUGCAACUGUUUAUUAAAAACACAGCACUGUGCAAACACGAAAGUGGACGUAUACGGUGUGACGCCUGCCCGGUGCCGGAAG
Molecule: ribosomal RNA, 1470 nt
Filed under: Escherichia coli
Lineage: Bacteria; Pseudomonadati; Pseudomonadota; Gammaproteobacteria; Enterobacterales; Enterobacteriaceae
Description: partial 23S ribosomal RNA
Rfam family: Bacterial large subunit ribosomal RNA
Source: RNAcentral